GACGAACGCUGGCGGCGGGCCUAAUACAUGCAAGUCGAACGCAGUGGGGACGGGUGAGUAACACGUGGGUAACCUCCCAUCAGAGGGGAUAACACUUGGAAAAAGGUGCUAAACCGAUACGGAUGGAGGGACCCGCGGGGCAUUAGCUAGUUGGUGAGGUAACGGCUCACCAAGGCGACGAUGCAUAGCCGGCCUGAGAGGAUGAUCGGCCACACUGGGACUGAGACACGGCCCAGACUCCUACGGGAGGCAGCAGUAGGGAAUGUUCGGCAAUGGACGAAAGCCUGACCGAGCAACGCCGCGUGAGUGAAGAAGGUUUUCGGAUCGUAAAACUCUGUUGGUAGAGAAGCGGUAUCUAACCAGAAAGCCACGGCUAACUACGUGCCAGCAGCCGCGGUAAUAC
This 403-nucleotide ribosomal RNA is filed under the name uncultured bacterium. RNAcentral's name for it is "partial 16S ribosomal RNA". It matches the Rfam family "Bacterial small subunit ribosomal RNA", at positions 28 to 526 of the family's 1533-position model. The record is from RNAcentral.